Molecule: non-coding RNA, 227 nt
Filed under: Bacillus sp. (in: firmicutes)
Lineage: Bacteria; Bacillati; Bacillota; Bacilli; Caryophanales; Bacillaceae
Description: Bacillus sp. T-box sequence
Rfam family: T-box leader
About the family: Uncharged tRNA acts as the effector for transcription antitermination of genes in the T-box leader family. T-boxes are found upstream of many aminoacyl-tRNA synthetase genes and some amino acid biosynthetic genes usually in Gram-positive bacteria.
Source: RNAcentral
UUAUAAGCAUUGACGGGAUUCUAAGUAGUGCUUCUAUCUCUGUUUCAGAAAGCUGACGGCUGCUGCGAGUCAGUACAUGUAGAAGGAUGAAUUACCUCCCUGAGCUUUCACUGUCAACUUGCAUUCGCAAUAGUAGCAGUGGACGGUAAUCCGUUAUCAUGUAAGAGUGGAGGAUUUAUAUGUCCUCAAUUUGGGUGGUACCGCGCAAAUAAAUAUGCGUCCCUGCA